This 76-nucleotide transfer RNA is filed under the name Candidatus Peregrinibacteria bacterium. RNAcentral's name for it is "tRNA-Val". It matches the Rfam family "tRNA". Rfam says of the family: Transfer RNA (tRNA) molecules are approximately 80 nucleotides in length. Their secondary structure includes four short double-helical elements and three loops (D, anti-codon, and T loops). Further hydrogen bonds mediate the characteristic L-shaped molecular structure. tRNAs have two regions of fundamental functional importance: the anti-codon, which is responsible for specific mRNA codon recognition, and the 3' end, to which the tRNAs corresponding amino acid is attached (by aminoacyl-tRNA synthetases). tRNAs cope with the degeneracy of the genetic code in two manners: having more than one tRNA (with a specific anti-codon) for a particular amino acid; and 'wobble' base-pairing, i.e. permitting non-standard base-pairing at the 3rd anti-codon position. Lineage: Bacteria; Candidatus Peregrinibacteriota. The record is from RNAcentral.
GGGCAGCUAGCUCAGUGGUUAGAGCGUUCGGUUCACAUCCGAAAGGUCGGAGGUUCAACUCCUCUGCUGCCCACCA